RNAcentral lists this ribosomal RNA (1417 nucleotides) under Bacillus tropicus. RNAcentral describes it as "bacterial SSU rRNA". It matches the Rfam family "Bacterial small subunit ribosomal RNA". The record is from RNAcentral. Lineage: Bacteria; Bacillati; Bacillota; Bacilli; Caryophanales; Bacillaceae.
CCUAAUACAUGCAAGUCGAGCGAAUGGAUUAAGAGCUUGCUCUUAUGAAGUUAGCGGCGGACGGGUGAGUAACACGUGGGUAACCUGCCCAUAAGACUGGGAUAACUCCGGGAAACCGGGGCUAAUACCGGAUAACAUUUUGAACCGCAUGGUUUGAAAUUGAAAGGCGGCUUCGGCUGUCACUUAUGGAUGGACCCGCGUCGCAUUAGCUAGUUGGUGAGGUAACGGCUCACCAAGGCAACGAUGCGUAGCCGACCUGAGAGGGUGAUCGGCCACACUGGGACUGAGACACGGCCCAGACUCCUACGGGAGGCAGCAGUAGGGAAUCUUCCGCAAUGGACGAAAGUCUGACGGAGCAACGCCGCGUGAGUGAUGAAGGCUUUCGGGUCGUAAAACUCUGUUGUUAGGGAAGAACAAGUGCUAGUUGAAUAAGCUGGCACCUUGACGGUACCUAACCAGAAAGCCACGGCUAACUACGUGCCAGCAGCCGCGGUAAUACGUAGGUGGCAAGCGUUAUCCGGAAUUAUUGGGCGUAAAGCGCGCGCAGGUGGUUUCUUAAGUCUGAUGUGAAAGCCCACGGCUCAACCGUGGAGGGUCAUUGGAAACUGGGAGACUUGAGUGCAGAAGAGGAAAGUGGAAUUUCAUGUGUAGCGGUGAAAUGCGUAGAGAUAUGGAGGAACACCAGUGGCGAAGGCGACUUUCUGGUCUGUAACUGACACUGAGGCGCGAAAGCGUGGGGAGCAAACAGGAUUAGAUACCCUGGUAGUCCACGCCGUAAACGAUGAGUGCUAAGUGUUAGAGGGUUUCCGCCCUUUAGUGCUGAAGUUAACGCAUUAAGCACUCCGCCUGGGGAGUACGGCCGCAAGGCUGAAACUCAAAGGAAUUGACGGGGGCCCGCACAAGCGGUGGAGCAUGUGGUUUAAUUUGAAGCAACGCGAAGAACCUUACCAGGUCUUGACAUCCUCUGACAACCCUAGAGAUAGGGCUUCUCCUUCGGGAGCAGAGUGACAGGUGGUGCAUGGUUGUCGUCAGCUCGUGUCGUGAGAUGUUGGGUUAAGUCCCGCAACGAGCGCAACCCUUGAUCUUAGUUGCCAUCAUUAAGUUGGGCACUCUAAGGUGACUGCCGGUGACAAACCGGAGGAAGGUGGGGAUGACGUCAAAUCAUCAUGCCCCUUAUGACCUGGGCUACACACGUGCUACAAUGGACGGUACAAAGAGCUGCAAGACCGCGAGGUGGAGCUAAUCUCAUAAAACCGUUUUCAGUUUGGAUUGUAGGCUGCAACUCGCCUACAUGAAGCUGGAAUCGCUAGUAAUCGCGGAUCAGCAUGCCGCGGUGAAUACGUUUCCGGGCCUUGUACACACCGCCCGUCACACCACGAGAGUUUGUAACACCCGAAGUCGGUGGGGUAACCUUUUU